CGUCGGUAUCCUGCCGCUGGGGACCGGCAACGACCUGUCGCGCGUGCUCGGCUCGGGCGAGGCCUACACUGAGGUGGACCCGCAGCGGGUCAUGCGGCGGCUCGCCGACGCCCGGGUCAUCCUCGUCGACCGCUGGCUGGUGCAGCUGGACCCCCUGCGGCACGUGCACCUGCCCGGCUCCACGGUUCGCAUGACCAACUACGUCAGCCUGGGCGUGGACGCGCUGGUGACGCUCAACUUCCACAAGACGCGCGAGUCGCCGCACUACCUCUGGAGCAGCCGGCUGGUGAACAAGCUGAUCUACUUCUGCUACGGCACCAA
Pollicipes pollicipes is the source of this 321-nucleotide long non-coding RNA. RefSeq lists it as uncharacterized. The transcript has 3 exons. The record is from RefSeq and is a predicted model, not a curated record. Lineage: Eukaryota; Metazoa; Arthropoda; Thecostraca; Pollicipedomorpha; Pollicipedidae.